GCCCUCUCAGGGUCACACCUGGAGAGUUUCCACUAUUCUACCAGUCUCGACUAGAGGAGGGAGAGUCAAGCAGAGGCCUGUCCAUUCCAUUCCUAGCUGGGGCAGUUGCUAGCGAGUGGAAGGUCAUCUGCUACAAGU
Molecule: small nucleolar RNA, 138 nt
Filed under: Ornithorhynchus anatinus (platypus)
Lineage: Eukaryota; Metazoa; Chordata; Mammalia; Monotremata; Ornithorhynchidae
Source: RNAcentral